AUAUUUAUUGCAACAUAUUGGUUAUGUUAAUAUCUAUUUUUCUAAUUCUUUUUUCAUUUCAGGACAUCCAAACUUUGAAAUGCCUGAGGCUGUCUAAGAGUCUUCAUAGCAUGUAUUGACAUGCAAAGGGUUCCAGACUUUCCCACUUCACUCCCAAAUCUCAGGAAAUGCCCUCUACCCAACCUGAAUGCCCCUGUAUGGGACUGUGUUAUGUACCACCGUGUCCUCAUGUCCUCCAACCACUAGAGAAAAUGCAAAGCGGCCCCUCCAUACACCGUUUCCCAAGGAAGAGGAGCUCACAGGGCUUAGAACUUCAAGAAGGAGUGAAACAAAAGCUCAAACCACAUAGUUUGAGCACCGAUGGUGCACCUGGGAAUACAAAGGUUGCUGAGGAAAAGAUCCCUGUUUUCACAACUGACGGACAUGUUGGCAUAAAUGAGAUGCACUAGAUUUGAUGUGGUAAGUGUGGUAAUGAAAGGAGGAAACUUCGUGCUGUGGUGGCAGAGAGGUGAGGGUCAACUCAGCCUGGACAAUCAGUAGACCCCACAGAGACAUGGCUAACCAAAGAAACGGGCAGAGGGGCCUAAGUGACUCAGUCGGUUAAGCAUCUGACUUCAGCUCAGGUCAAGAUCUCGCCCUUACUGAGUGCAAGCCCCGCAUCGGGCUCUGUGCUGACAGCUCAGAGCCUGGAGCCUGCUUCAGAUUCUGUCUCCCACUCUCUUCCCCUCCCCCACUCAUGGUCGCUCACUCUCUCUCUCUCAAAAAUAAACACUUUAAAAAAUUUAAAAGGAAAGAAAUG
RNAcentral lists this long non-coding RNA (799 nucleotides) under Felis catus (domestic cat). RNAcentral describes it as "lncRNA (ENSFCAG00000041520.2)". The record is from RNAcentral. Lineage: Eukaryota; Metazoa; Chordata; Mammalia; Carnivora; Felidae.